Molecule: ribosomal RNA, 322 nt
Filed under: uncultured eukaryote
Lineage: Eukaryota
Description: partial 18S ribosomal RNA
Rfam family: Eukaryotic small subunit ribosomal RNA
Source: RNAcentral
CCCUUAGAUGUUCUGGGCCGCACGCGUGCUACACUGAACGGUUCAAUGGGUGAGGUAGUGCGAAAGCAUGACCCAAUCUCAAAAUCCGUUCGUGCUGGGGAUAGAAGCUUGCAAUUCUCCUUCUUGAACGAGGAAUACCUUGUAAGCGCGAGUCAUCAUCUCGCGCUGAAUACGUCCCUGCCCUUUGUACACACCGCCCGUCGCUCCUACCGAUUGAGUGGUCCGGUGAGGCUUCGGGAGAGCUAAAUGGAUUGUGUUUCACAAACUAUUUGGCUUGAACUUAGUCAAACCUUACUACUUAGAGGAAGGAGGAGUCGUAACA